RNAcentral lists this transfer RNA (77 nucleotides) under Saprospirales bacterium. Its description in RNAcentral is "tRNA-Ile". It matches the Rfam family "tRNA". Rfam says of the family: Transfer RNA (tRNA) molecules are approximately 80 nucleotides in length. Their secondary structure includes four short double-helical elements and three loops (D, anti-codon, and T loops). The record is from RNAcentral. Lineage: Bacteria; Pseudomonadati; Bacteroidota; Saprospiria; Saprospirales.
GGUCCCUUAGCUCAGCUGGUCAGAGCAUCUGACUCAUAAUCAGAGGGUCGCAGGUUCAAGCCCUGCAGGGACCACCA